RNAcentral lists this long non-coding RNA (1134 nucleotides) under Vulpes vulpes (red fox). Its description in RNAcentral is "lncRNA (ENSVVUG00000015012.1)". Lineage: Eukaryota; Metazoa; Chordata; Mammalia; Carnivora; Canidae. The record is from RNAcentral.
CUCUAUUGUUUUGGUGCCAUAUUUUGGGCUAUUUUGAGCCCUGUAUUGAUAUUGAGUAUAUAAUCCUUCUUCAUCCUUAUCCAAUAUAGGAUGAUAGCAGCUGCACAGAUGAAUUGGGGUUACUUUGCUGGACUGGAUGCCAAACUUGACUAGGAUGUCCUUGGCGUGUGCACCCCUGUGGAAUCCAGUUCAUCUCCAAUCUGUCAGGAAGUAUCAGAGGUGGUUUUGACUCCUUAUGUCCUGGGCCUGUGCACAAAAUGUAAACCUGGCUCCCAUUGAGAUUCCAGAAUCUACAUUCUUGUUUUUCUCUUUCAUGCUAGAAGAUUUCUACACGUUUGGUGACCCUUGGCUAUCUUUCUACAUUUAAGAGUAAGGGCCUUGUAUUUAUUUGGAAAGCCUAUUUAUAAUAGAAAUGUAUUAACUGGUAAGGUUUACUACCAUGUGGUAACAUAGCUUUCUAAUUGAGAGAUCCUAAAUCUCAUAUUUUACAUAUUUUCUCUUCGCCUUUAAGUUUGUUUAGAGAGGACUUCUCCAAUUUUAUGCUCAGAGGAUAAGAGCUAUAGUCCUUGUUUUGGAUGCUGAGUCAGAAAAUGACCCACAAUUCUCACUAUUCAAUAUAGGGCUUUGCACUUCAUCUCCUGUUAGUCAAUAGAACAUCUCACCUUGUCAUUCACUAUACAAACCUCUACAGUAUAUACCUCUGAUCUUCUGUUGAGGUAAGGGAAGGGAUAUAGUGUCUAAUUAUUUCUUAGGUAAACAUUCAAGUAAUCCUCUUAUUUUAUUCAUACAUCCUCUCCUCAUUAUGUUAAUGAGGAUUAAUUAAUUAAUUGAUUAAUCACUUUCUGUGAUAUCUGGUGUUUCCAUAGCUUGAGAGUUUUUGGGAUUUUUGGUAGAAUUGGAAGCUUCCUAUUGGCCUCCUUCAAUUUAGGAUGAGGUUUCAACUUUAUCUGCUAAGCAGUCACUAUUCAUCCAUCUGUCUUCCAACAUUUCAGAAAUGUUUUUGAUAUUGUUUAUCUGAUAACUUUUCCUCUCCUAUUUUUUCAUCUUUAUGGGUUUAUAAGUUUUAAAAUUCUUUCACAUUCAGUUCAGUGUGGUUUUGUAAGGAUGAGAAAUAAAUAUAUGCAUAUGCAUCCA